ACACGGGUAAAUCAUACAGCUGCAUUCCAUCUACAUCUAAAUCAGAAACGAUGUGUUCUUCACAUUUCUUGCUGAUAGGACUGAUCUUGAUGCCUGGUACGAGUGGCAUCGAUUCAGUCUCUCAGGAUACUUCUGAUUUAACAGCUCAGGAAGGAGAGACUAUCGCUCUGAACUGCAAUUAUUCCACGACUGAUACCUUUCCUUACCUCUUCUGGUAUAUUCAACACCCAGGGAGUUCCCUGACAUAUAUAUUGAAGAGAUACGGCAAUGAUCUGGGCGAGACUGCUGUAAAUUUCCGCAGCAGGUUCACUGCUUCCUUGGACAACGAACAAAGAAUUGUUACGUUGAGAGUCCUUGAGGUUCUUGUCUCUGACUCCGCCGUGUAUCAUUGUGCACUGCGCCCCACACUGUUAUAGGGGCACAGUCAGCAUGUACAAAAACUGGCUAAGGAUAUUCACCACAUUUCAGGCUGUGAGGUUAGGCAAAAUGGUUACUGAGAGAAAAAGAAAACAGAUAUCAGCAUGCAACGUGUGA
This is a non-coding RNA of Stegostoma tigrinum, 534 nucleotides long. The record is from the annotation of a RefSeq genome assembly. Lineage: Eukaryota; Metazoa; Chordata; Chondrichthyes; Orectolobiformes; Stegostomatidae.